RNAcentral lists this ribosomal RNA (253 nucleotides) under uncultured bacterium. RNAcentral's name for it is "partial 16S ribosomal RNA". It matches the Rfam family "Bacterial small subunit ribosomal RNA", at positions 524 to 776 of the family's 1533-position model. The record is from RNAcentral.
UACGUAGGUGGCGAGCGUUGUCCGGAUUUACUGGGCGUAAAGGGAGCGUAGGCGGACUUUUAAGUGAGAUGUGAAAUACUCGGGCUCAACUUGAGUGCUGCAUUUCAAACUGGAAGUCUAGAGUGCAGGAGAGGAGAAUGGAAUUCCUAGUGUAGCGGUGAAAUGCGUAGAUAUGAGGAGGAACACCAGUGGCGAAGGCGGUCUGCUGGACAGCAACUGACGCUGAGGCGCGAAAGCGUGGGGAGCAAAUAGG